Molecule: ribosomal RNA, 868 nt
Filed under: uncultured archaeon
Lineage: Archaea
Description: bacterial SSU rRNA
Rfam family: Archaeal small subunit ribosomal RNA
Source: RNAcentral
CUCCGGUGAUCCCUGCCGGACCCGACUGCUAUCAGAGUGAGAUUAAGCCAUGCGAGUUAACGUAGCAAUACGUGGCGCACGGCUCAGUAACACGUAGUCAACAUGCCCAGAGGACGUGGAUAACCUCGGGAAACUGAGUCUAAACCGCGAUAAGUGAGGAUUUCUGGAAUGGUUCCUGACUAAAAUCUAUAUGGCCUCUGGAUUGGACUGCGGCCGAUCAGGCUGUUGGUGAGGUAAUGGCCCACCAAACCUGUAACCGGUACGGGCUCUGAGAGGAGGAGCCCGGAGAUGGGCACUGAGACAAGGGCCCAGGCCCUAUGGGGCGCAGCAGGCGCGAAACCUCUGCAAUAGGCGAAAGCCUGACAGGGUUACUCUGAGUGACUUUCGCUAAGAAAGUCUUUUGGCACCUCUAAAAAGGGUGCAGAAUAAGGGGUGGGCAAGUCUGGUGUCAGCCGCCGCGGUAAUACCAGCACCCCGAGUGGUCGGGACGAUUAUUGGGCCUAAAGCAUCCGUAGCCGGUUCUGCAAGUCUUCCGUUAAAUCCACCUGCUUAACAGAUGGGCUGCGGAAGAUACUAUAGAGCUAGGAGGCGGGAGAGGCAAGCGGUACUCGAUGGGUAGGGGUAAAAUCCGUUGAUCCAUUGAAGACCACCAGUGGCGAAGGCGGCUUGCCAGAACGCGCUCGACGGUGAGGGAUGAAAGCUGGGGGAGCAAACCGGAUUAGAUACCCGGGUAGUCCCAGCUGUAAACGAUGCAGACUCGGUGAUGAGUUGGCUUAUUGCUAACUCAGUGCCGCAGGGAAGCCGUUAAGUUUGCCGCCUGGGGAGUACGGUCGCAAGACUGAAACUUAAAGGAAUUGGCGGGGGAGCA